Molecule: ribosomal RNA, 253 nt
Filed under: uncultured bacterium
Lineage: Bacteria
Description: partial 16S ribosomal RNA
Rfam family: Bacterial small subunit ribosomal RNA
Source: RNAcentral
UACGAAGGGGGCUAGCGUUGUUCGGAAUUACUGGGCGUAAAGGGCGCGCAGGCGGCCAUUCAAGUCAGGCGUGAAAGCCCCGGGCUCAACCUGGGAAUUGCGCUUGAGACUGGAUGGCUUGAGUUCGGGAGAGGAGAGUGGAAUUCCCAGUGUAGAGGUGAAAUUCGUAGAUAUUGGGAAGAACACCGGUGGCGAAGGCGGCUCUCUGGACCGAUACUGACGCUGAGGCGCGAAAGCGUGGGGAGCAAACAGG